UACGGGGGGGGCAAGCGUUGUUCGGAAUUACUGGGCGUAAAGGGCGCGUAGGCGGACCUGCAAGUCGGGGGUGAAAGCCCGAGGCUCAACCUCGGAACUGCCUUCGAUACUGCGGGUCUCGAGUCCGGGAGAGGUGAGUGGAAUUCCUAGUGUAGAGGUGAAAUUCGUAGAUAUUAGGAAGAACACCAGUGGCGAAGGCGGCUCACUGGCCCGGUACUGACGCUGAGGUGCGAAAGCGUGGGGAGCAAACAGG
RNAcentral lists this ribosomal RNA (253 nucleotides) under uncultured bacterium. RNAcentral describes it as "partial 16S ribosomal RNA". It matches the Rfam family "Bacterial small subunit ribosomal RNA", at positions 524 to 776 of the family's 1533-position model. The record is from RNAcentral.